RNAcentral lists this ribosomal RNA (492 nucleotides) under uncultured bacterium. Its description in RNAcentral is "partial 16S ribosomal RNA". It matches the Rfam family "Bacterial small subunit ribosomal RNA", at positions 29 to 507 of the family's 1533-position model. The record is from RNAcentral.
AGUGAACGCUGGCGGUAGGCCUAACACAUGCAAGUCGAACGGCAGCACGGUAAGAGCUUGCUCUUACGGGUGGCGAGUGGCGGACGGGUGAGGAAUACAUCGGAAUCUACUUUUUCUUGGGGAACACCGUGGGAAAAUUUCCCCUAACACCUAACAGUACUAACGGGUGAAGUCUGGGGAUCUUGGUGCUUUUGCUGUUGCAUUUAGCCGGUGCCGUAUUAGCUAGUUGGGGGGGUAAGGUCCCACCAAGGCGACGAUCCGUAGCUGAUCUGAGAGGAUGAUCAGCCACACUGGAACUGAGACACGGUCCAGACUCCUACGGGAGGCAGCAGUGGGGAAUAUUCGACAAUGGGCGCAAGCCUGAUCCAGCAAUGCCGCGUGGGUGAAGAAGGCCUUCGGGUUGUAAAGCUCUUUUGUUAGGAAAGAAAAGCAGCAGGUUAAUCCCCCGCUGUCUUGACGGUACCUAAAGAAUAAGCACCGGCUAACUUCGUG